AUAGUAAUCGUUUUCCUUGGCAACAAAGCAGGCCGAAAGCUGCUUUGUUGUGUUAAAAAUGUUAAGUGGUGACCCAGGCUGGACUCACAGUAGCAAAAUGGACCGACCUGCAGCUCCCCCGCCCCGGCCACAAAGCAAACCGCGCCCCUUGGGCCGCGGAUGCUGGCGGACAUCCGGAGCUUGGUCCGGUCACUGGAGGGGCUGGUGGCGGAACCCGCCCUGACGCUUCUGCCGAAGCUUUCAGCAGGCUGAUUGGAUAACGAGCAAGACUGGAGCAGAGAGAGAGAGAAAACUUUUUGUCUGCCGGUUUACAAGAAAUUGGUCAGUGAAGGAUAGCUGUCAAGACAAUGGACAUUAUCAACGUCAAUGCCUUACCAAUAAUUCCAUUGGACGAGCGCCUGGUGGUCUCCGCCAACGUUCGGACAGUGCUGGAGGAUGCCUUGAGAAAGCGGAUGCAGGGGAGUCCACCCAUCUGUCUCUCAGCAUGCAUCAUUGGCUCCAUGAGCCAGGUGAAUCAGAGGAUUAUGGAAGUAGAACUGGGCUCCAGCCUGAUGAUCAGCACCUUGGCAAUUGAAGACUAUGAGUUGGAGAAGAAGUCUUUAAGAGAGAAAACUCACGGCAGCCCAGGAGACAAAGUCAAGAAACAGAAGGAAGAGCCACCGAUAUCUUGCCAAGGCUCAGAGCUCCGGAAUGCCAGAGUGCUUCCCACAAAAAGGAAAACAGCAGAUAAGAAUCUGCUCGCAGAGCUGCACGAACACCCCCCGUUUGAUGAAAUGAAGCCCAAUAAACUGCCCAAUGGUGUGGACUUCUGUGACAUGGUGGGCAAUGUGAUCCGGUCUGAGAAAAAUCCCCUGAGCGGCAAGUCUUACUGUUCAGACAGGGAACUAGAGAAGUUUCUGUGCUCGCCUUUUCUCGCCGCCAUGUGGCUGGACAGCUUUUGGUGGCUAUUUCAUGAGAGGUACCAGCCAGACAAGGAGAUCCAGAAAAAGCUGUUCGACCGAAUAGCCCGAAAUUACGCCUCCCUGUUGUUCAAAAUGUGUCGGUCCCAUUAUGAAGAGGCACUCUUAAAGAGGCUCUCGUCACUUCUGAGCAAAGCCAUGUACACCAGCUUCUGCUGCUGCUUCCCCCAGUCCUGGUUCAACACCCACGAAUUCAAGUCAGAGAUCUGUAACACCAUGAACCUGUGGGUUUCAGGGAUGUAUCCUUGCCUACAGAGCUAUAACAAUUGGGACUACUCAGAACUGGAUCCAGAGAGGUUCCGGCAAGAAGAAUUAAUGUUACAGAGCAGUCGACUUCUGAAGGCAAGAGAGUUCACCCUCUUCACUUGUAAGAAAUCCUCCAUUCAGCAGAUAGAACAGAAGCACACGAAGUUCCAUAACCUUGUGGGUCUCCUGAAGGCUUCUCAUUCAAAGGUAAUGAAGGAAAAAGAACUUUCAAAUAAGACUACAGAGGAAAGCUAUAGGUGCCGCGGCAUGAAAGUCCCACCCUGCCUGCAAAAGCCCAGAGCUGACUUCAAACCAGUUCAACCUUUAUGGAAGGAGCCCGCUCAUGACGUACUUCUUCCUCAACUACUCCCAGUUGCAGCUGACUGGUCAGGACCUGCUGGUCAGCAGGAGAGAAAAGACGGAAAUCAUCCCAUAUCCUUGUCAGCAGCUGCCUCUUUGCAGAAGCAGGGCUUGGGGAGAAGCAUCCAGGCUUUGGUGCAUAGCCUGCCACGCACUGGGUACUUGGUAGGAACAGCUGUGGUAUGUACCUCACGGAUAGAGAGCUGUGCUUAUGCUCAGGGGAGCCUCACAUUUAGGCCUUAUGUACUGGCCAGGAGACGCUGACCAUGUCCCCAUGGACAGAGUCACCUCUUUCUCAUUGUCCAGCAUGAGCUUAGGCAUCAUACACUCCCUGGUCCUCCCGGCCCAAGAGAGUGGGACCAUCAAUUUUGGUGUCCUCUGCACACUUUCCUCCCCAGCUGCCUUUGGAGUUGGUAUAAAACUCAGCUCUUGGGAAACAGGUCCAACAUGUGUUGGUUUGCAGCAUGUGUUGGUAUGUUGAGCCUUAGCAACAUGCCUAGGGGUCAGAACAUGGGUUCUACUGGGAGUCAGUUUGCUCUGUUUGACUUAAAUAGCCCAGACUCUGAAACUAAUACUAACCACUAGUGAGAUGUUAGAAAGGUUCCAGUUUUUCUGUGGGCAAUUUUUACCUCGUCUGUAAAAUCAGAAUAAGGAUUGCCCUGUUGGGGGUGCUUUUUGUUUGAUUUUAUUAUUGUUUGGACCUUUUGUUGUUGUUGUUGUUUAUUUGUUUGUCCCACUGUGUAGCCCCGGCUGGCCUGGAACUUACUAUGUAGAGCAGACUGGUCUCAAAUUCACAGAGCUCCACCUGCCUCUUUAUUCUGAGUGCUGUGAUUUAAGACUUGUGCCACCAGGCCCAGCUUCAGGGGCUAUUUUGCAGAUUGCCUCCCAGGGCAGUGGAGGUAAGAGUGCUCAGGACAUGCCUGCUACUCCGUUGCCUUUGCUGGCUCAUAGGCAGGAAGGCCACCAGGAGGCCCUUUUUGUCUCCUGUCCCUAGAGUUUUGUGUCGCAGAUUUCUGAAAGCAGACCACCUACCUCUGGGCAACAUGGUCCAAAUUGUCCCUGGCGUCACCCUGUUCUCGAGGUCACUGGGCUCCAGAGAUGGCCUCCGGCUGGGGUGUACAAACCUUAAAAGCUCUACCCUGCAAGCUCCCAAAGUGGAGAUGGUUCUACCAAGCUGGUAAUGUGACUGAGUGGUGUAUAACAGGCACUGUAUGAAGAACUGGCAUUGUGGUUGUCACCAUCCUCUACAGAAGUGCUUCUCAGCCUUCCUAAUGCUGCAGCCCUUUAAUACAGUCAGUUCCUAGUGCUGUGGUGACCUCAACCAUAAAAUUAUUUCAUUACUAUUUCAUAACUGUACUUUUGCUACUGUUAUGAAUUGUAAUGUAAAUGUGUUUUCCCAUGGCCUUACGCGGCCCCUGUGAAAGGGUCAUCUGACACCCCUCCAAAGGAGUCAAUGCCCGUAGGUUGAGUAUCGGUGCUCUAAAGGAAGGCUUCUUUUCUUUUCGGGAGGUCCUUGAGAUAGGGUCUCAGAGUUUAGCUGAGGCUGGCCUCAGACUCAGGGUAAUGGCUGCCUUAGCUGUGAGUGCUGAGGUUACAGGUGUGAGUCACUAGACCUGGCUUUUAGUCCCUUUCAUAGAUAAAUGGGGACAAAGAGGGUGACAGUGGCCAUCCCACAGCUUGUCGCAAAUGCAGCUGAGAUUCUAACCACGGGUGGAGGUGGAGAGAGGACAAAGGUGUUUGUUGGUUUGUCUGUUUGCCUUGUGUUCUGAGACAGUGUCUGGUCCGCUCUGGCUUCCCUGGAAUUCCCUGUGUCCUUGAACUUGAUCAUCCUAACUCCAUCUCCCAAAUGCUAGGAUCCCAGGUGCGUGUCAUCGCACCUGAAAUGGACAACAUAGCCGAGUGCGGCUGUGUGUGCCUAUAACACCCGCCCUUGGGAGGCUGAGGCAGGAAGCUUACAAUGAACUUGAGACUGCACAGCCAAGCCCUGUUUAAAAACAAAAACAAAAACAAGAACAAAACAACAACAACAACAACAAAAACCAACCCAAAUCCAGCUGGGCUUGAUGGUCCAAGCCUUUAAUCCCAGCACCCAGGGGGCAGAAGCAGGUGUAUUUCUGUGAGUUCAAAGCCAGCAAGAGUUAAGACUGUCUCAAAAACCAAACCAAAACCCAAACCAGAAAACAAAAAUGAUUUAUCAGGCUGUCAAGGGGAGAGAUGUUGGAGCCCCUUUCUCUUUGUCAUUAUGGUAACAGACUCCAAGCCCAGACUGUUAAACAGGGCCCAGAACUAUUAUUAUGGGCAGUGAUUUGUAGAAAGAUCACGGUGAUGUUGGGGAACCCCUUGGGAACAACACGGCACUCCUGCCAGGGCACCAUCUUUCUCCCUCAGAGAGUCUAAGGAAGUAUUAUCUGGCUCGAUACCCUGGACAGAGCCAAAGGGGGCUUAAGGACAGGGUGGACACCCUGCCCAGCCAUAGUGGUACAGCCUUUCUCCUUCCCCGGCUGGCCAUCGCCAGUCUGAGAAGACCACUGCCUGUGUGGAUUUUGGGUGCCUCCUCCAGAACUCCAGAGCACCAAACGUCAUCCUUUGCGUCGUCCAUGCUCUCCUUGCCAUGGCCGCUACAACCUAGGGCAGGCAGCACAGUGGACCUUUCCUUGACAGCAGAGUGCACUGACUCUGCCAUGACCUACGCUGACAUCAUCCAGUUGGUCACAAAGAACAUGGAGAUUCGAAAGAAAAAGCUCCGGCAGCUGGACCAGAUGCACGAGAACGAGUGGAACUGUUUUAACAAUUACCUAACGGAGCUGCAAGAAAACUUUGAGAGGGAGUUGGAAAUCAUCAAUAAGAAAGAACGAGAGAAGAGAAAGGACAAGAACAGGGUCGUCUCCUCCACGUCGCUGUUUGAAUCGUCUGGCAAGAAAUCCAAGGGAAACAAGCAAAGAGAAACUGCCUUUCUUUCAAGGAAGAAAAAGAAGGAGGUAGAAGAGAGACCAAAAGGUUUCUAUUCUCCUUUCUCAUUUCAAAACUCUAUGGAUGUGGAUAACAAUUCCCUGGGCCUAAAAAGCCCCUACAGAAUCAAGUCUCCUUCCAGUGAGGGCAGCAGCAGUAUCUCCACAAUCAAGCAGGACAUGCUCUUCCAGCUCUCACCCUCCUCCAUGGAAUGAACUUGCCCAAGAACAGGAGGAGACUGCGGAGGUGACCCUCCUGUCUUUGAUCAGAUGCGGUAGAAAGCGGAUUCAGCAAUGGCAACUGAGAGCUCUGAUGCAGCCAGUGAUGCAUGGAGCCUCUCCCAGUCCACAGGAGAAAGAAUAUUAAAGUUCACACCUCCCACGGACCAUUCAGGGCUCAUCCAUCAGACAUUUAUUUGAUUUGUUCUUUCAUUCACUUGAUAAUAACAACCCAGCCCAACACAUCCUUAUGAAACAUAGCAAGACCCUGUCUCAAAAAACAAGCCAACACCACGUAUCAGAAGGGAGCUGAGCUGCUAAGUCCCAGCUGUCUUUAGGCCCAGCAUGCUGUAGUCAGGGGCAGGUGGAUCUCUGAGUUCGAGGCUAGUCAUUCCUACAUGUUUGUUAACACAUGUGGCACACACUUAUUUGGGGCUUACUCAUCUUUUCAUCUAUAUUAAGUUAGAUAUUAACACUUAACAUUUAUUUACAUGUGUUUGGUUUACUUUUUGGAUUUUUUGUUUGUUUGUUUCGAGACAGGGUUUUUCUCUGUAGCCCUGGCUGUCCUGGAACUCACUUUAUAGACCAGGCUGGCCUCGAACUCAGAAAUCUGCUUGCCUCUGCCACCCAAAUGCUAGGAUUUAAGGUGCCACCACUGCCCAGCUUAAUUUUUUUUUUAUUUGCCUGUUUGCAGUACUAGAUAUUUGAAUCUAGGGCCUUGCCUAUGCUAGGAAACCAUUCCUUUCUGUUUGAGGAUCUUGCUGAGUUUUCCGGGAUGCCCGUGUGAAUCUCCUACCUUACUCACUGGGCCCAGCUGCCUCUACAUGGUCUAGGGGUGCUCAUAAAAGCAAAGUAAAGCUGGGCGUGGUAGGGCACACCUUUAAUCCCAGCACUCGGGAGACAGAGGCAGGCGGAUUUCUGAGUUCGAGGCCAGCCUGGUCUUUAAAGUGAGUUCCAGGACAACAGCCAGGACUACACAGAGAAACCCUGUCUCAAAAAAACGAAAAAAAAAAAAAAAAAAAAAAAGCAAAGUAAAGCAGUGGAAAUGAGUUUGAGCCUACAUAUUUAUAUCCCUUUAGUCCUGCAUCUCUUUGUAUUAAUUGUCUGAAGUAUGUCACCCCUCUGAGCCUACAGGCUUUUCCAGAGCUGUAAAACAGCACACUUCUUUCCUGGGAAUUGCUACAACCAAACAUUUCCAGGAACCUUAGAUUCCUUUCAAGGUCCCUGAAACUCUGCCUCCUGCCCCCUAAGCCAACUACAGCUAUGGAACUCUACCCUAAGGGAACCUCAGGGAAGAAGGCAGGUAGAGGAUGCUUCACUUGAAUCUCUGGUGAGAGGGGAAACUCCUUAAUAACAGACAUCCUAUGGAAUACGGUGCAUCCAUUUUAAGCUAUGUGGGAGGCACAGGAAGGGCAGAAGUAAGGUUAGGGGUGCGGGUGAGCAGCAGCAUACUGGUUGAGUAUGUCUUUUUGGUUUUGUUAAUGUUUUCAAUAAAAACCAACUGUUUCUAUUUUGA
RNA transcript from Mus musculus (house mouse), 6248 nucleotides. It is a transcript of the gene named family with sequence similarity 227, member A, with no coding region annotated. Lineage: Eukaryota; Metazoa; Chordata; Mammalia; Rodentia; Muridae. The transcript has 16 exons. The record is from RefSeq and is marked validated.